Molecule: ribosomal RNA, 459 nt
Filed under: uncultured bacterium
Lineage: Bacteria
Description: partial 16S ribosomal RNA
Rfam family: Bacterial small subunit ribosomal RNA
Source: RNAcentral
CCUACGGGAGGCAGCAGUGAGGAAUAUUGGUCAAUGGGCGGGAGCCUGAACCAGCCAAGCCGCGUGAGGGAAGAAGGUACAGCGUAUCGUAAACCUCUUUUGUCAGGGAACAAAGGCGCGGACUAGUCCCCGGAUGAGGGUACCUGAAGAAAAAGCAUCGGCUAACCCCGGUCCAGCAGCCGCGGUAAUACGGGGGAUGCGAGCGUUAUCCGGAUUGAUUGGGUUUAAAGGGUGCGCAGGCGGCCUGUUAAGUCAGCGGUAAAAGCCCGGGGCUCAACCCCGGCGAGCCGUUGAAACUGGCGGGCUGGAGUUGGAGAGAGGUACGCGGAAUGCGCGGUGUAGCGGUGAAAUGCGUAGAUAUCGCGCAGAACCCCGAUGGCGAAGGCAGCGUACCGGCUCGACACUGACGCUGAGGCACGAAAGCGUGGGUAGCGAACAGGAUUAGAUACCCUUGUAGUC